RNAcentral lists this ribosomal RNA (468 nucleotides) under uncultured bacterium. RNAcentral describes it as "partial 16S ribosomal RNA". It matches the Rfam family "Bacterial small subunit ribosomal RNA", at positions 28 to 507 of the family's 1533-position model. The record is from RNAcentral.
GACGAACGCUGCGGCGGGCUUAACACCUGCCAGUCGGACGGAAAAGCCCUGCUUUUGGGGGGUGCCCCAGUGGCGAACCGGUUGGUAAAACGUGGGUUACCUUGCCCUGGAUUUGGGGUUAAUUCAGGAAAAUUGGGGUAAUGCCGGAUUAGAGGUUCCGCCUCAUUGUGGGGGGUGGGAAGGUUUCGGCGGUUGGGGAUGGACUCGCGGCUUAUCAGCUUGUUGGUGGGGUAGUGGCUUACCAAGGCUUUGACGGGUAGCCGGCCUGAGAGGGUGACCGGCCACAUUGGGACUGAGAUACGGCCCAGACUCCUACGGGAGGCAGCAGUGGGGAAUAUUGCACAAUGGGCGGAAGCCUGAUGCAGCAACGCCGCGUGCGGGAUGACGGCCUUCGGGUUGUAAACCGCUUUCGCCUGUGACGAAGCGUGAGUGACGGUAAUGGGUAAAGAAGCACCGGCUAACUACGUG